UACAGAGGUCCCAAGCGUUGUUCGGAUUCACUGGGCGUAAAGGGUGCGUAGGUGGUCGGGUAAGUCUGAUGUGAAAUCUCCGAGCUUAACUCGGAAAUGGCAUUGGAUACUAUCCGGCUGGAGGGUCGGAGGGGGGACUGGAAUUCUUGGUGUAGCAGUGAAAUGCGUAGAUAUCAAGAGGAACACCAGUGGCGAAGGCGAGUCCCUGGACGACUCCUGACACUGAGGCACGAAAGCUAGGGGAGCAAACAGG
RNAcentral lists this ribosomal RNA (253 nucleotides) under uncultured bacterium. Its description in RNAcentral is "partial 16S ribosomal RNA". It matches the Rfam family "Bacterial small subunit ribosomal RNA", at positions 524 to 776 of the family's 1533-position model. The record is from RNAcentral.